Molecule: ribosomal RNA, 371 nt
Filed under: uncultured bacterium
Lineage: Bacteria
Description: bacterial SSU rRNA
Rfam family: Bacterial small subunit ribosomal RNA
Source: RNAcentral
AGAGGGGGCAAGCGUUGUUCGGAAUUACUGGGCGUAAAGGGCGCGUAGGCGGCCCGCUAAGUCGAACGUGAAAUCCCCGAGCUCAACUCGGGAACUGCGUCCGAUACUGGCGGGCUUGAAUCCGGGAGAGGGAUGCGGAAUUCCAGGUGUAGCGGUGAAAUGCGUAGAUAUCUGGAGGAACACCGGUGGCGAAGGCGGCAUCCUGGACCGGCAUUGACGCUGAGGCGCGAAAUCUAGGGGAGCAAACGGGAUUAGAUACCCCGGUAGUCCUAGCCCUAAACGAUGAAUGCUUGGUGUGGCGGGUAUCGAUCCCUGCCGUGCCGAAGCUAACGCAUUAAGCAUUCCGCCUGGGGAGUACGGUCGCAAGGCUG